Marmota monax (woodchuck) is the source of this 3706-nucleotide long non-coding RNA. RefSeq lists it as uncharacterized. Lineage: Eukaryota; Metazoa; Chordata; Mammalia; Rodentia; Sciuridae. The record is from RefSeq and is a predicted model, not a curated record. The transcript has 2 exons.
CCCUACCGCCCGCGGGGAGUGCGCCGGAAGCGGCGGCCCAUCCGGGCUUUUGCGCGCGUGCGCGCGCGUCCGGCUCCACCGCCUCGACCAAUUGGGGACCGGGUUGGCGGCGCGGCCUUGUGGCGGGUCUACAGGUGGGGAUCCGGCGCUGCCCCAACGGAACUCCAGCUCGGGCUAGUUGGCGCAGCGCCCGCUCCCCUCCCCGUUUGGCGCGGGACGCUGGGAAGACUCUUUUAGUUGUGCUGUUUUUCUAUUUCAUGGGUUAUUCCUCCCGACUGCAGUGGAAACUAGGCAAAUGCGUAUCUAAGUGUCGCUGCCACCAAAAAGAAACCAAGAUUAACAGACGUAUAUUUUAAGUCCACGCCGGCAGCCGCUGGAGGUGUGGCAAGUGAUAUUGGUGCAGUCUCAUGAAGAACUGAGUUGGUUCAAGCCAGCAAGCAGACUUUGCAGACCAGCUUCACAGGCCAGAAUGUGAUAAGUCUGUGAACAAAUACUUCUUUUUUUUUUUUUUUUAAAUAAAAUUGUAUCCUUUCCUUCCACUCCCUAUCUACUAGAUCAGAAUCUUCUUAAGCAUUGUUAAAACCAAACUCUGAAGAAGGAGAGAUAUCUGAAAUAAAAGGUUUUAUUGAGCCAUUACAGACGCUAGCCAAAAAGAAAGGACCAGUCCUGGGACAAGCUCCCUCAGCCACCCACAGCUAGGCCAGGUAGUGGAGCCAGAAUUAGUGUAGAUUAGUUAAAUGGAGUCAGGUGGGAUCAAGGAAGCCAAUUUUGAGUGAGUCCGAAAUUGGAGACUGUUCCCUGAGGAAUUGAAAUAUUAAUUCCUUUAGAGCCCUUCCUCCAACUUUAUCAAGAACCUGCCCUAGCUCCCUGUUGCUAAGGUAACCUAUCCCAGGAGUUGCCCUUCUCUACAGGGAGCUAUAAGGUUGUUAAUUAACGUGUCUUGGGCUGCUCCAUCCUGCCCUUCCUCCUUCAGCCCACCUGUUUCCCACCUUUUGACCAUCCCACAGAGCAUUUUCUAGGCCUAGUCACAUAUGCAGAAAGGAGAAAGAUGAAGAGAGCAGAACAAAGGAAGCCUAGGACUUAUAAAAAGGGCAGAACACCUCACUUCAUGAGAUACCUGAAUACCAGCUAUGGCCUCCUUCCCUCUCCUGGGAGAAGUCUGUUACCCCUAUUAAAUAAACCCGGCUUUAUAUGCUUGCCUCAGCAUGCUUCUCUAAUGUUCAACUUCAACAUGCAAGGAAUCAGAAUUCAUUGCUGAUAACCAAUGGUAUCAGUAGCAUUCGGAAAAAUGUCAGCUGAAUCCAAGAAUCCAGAGUACUUUUAUAAUGAAAAUCUGAGAAAAACAGGCAUAAGUUAUUUACAUUGCAUCUACAUUGACUAUGGAUAAGAGGAACAGGAUUGCGUAAAGCAGGGGACAGUCUACCAGGAGAAGCGGGCUUGCUUCUGGAUGGAUUGGGGCUGCAGGAAGGAUGCUGUAGCAUCUAGGGGGUUGCCAAAGGAUUUGAGUAAAACAAGGGGGUUGAGGUUUGUUUGAGAUGGAGUCUUAGUAUAUUGCUUAGGCCGGUCUCCAACUCAUGGUUUAACCAACCCUCCUGUCUUAGCCUCCUGAGUUGCUGAAACUAUAGGCAUAAGCCAUCCCACCCAGCUGAGUUAAGUAAAAAACUAAAGAAUGGAGAGCUGGGGGUGCAGUUCAGUGGUAGAACAUAUGCUUAUCAUGUGGGUUCAAUCUCCAGCAAUUAAAAAAAAAAAAAUCUCAAAGUCAAAAACUUAAAUCCAGCAAAGUGGCAUGUGCAGCAUCUCACUGGGAGGCUGAUGAGGGAGGAUUGCUUGUGCCUAGUUCAAGACUAGUCUGGGCAACAUAAAGACAUCCCAUCUCAGAAGAAAACAGAGAGAAAGAAUGUAAAAUGGUCUUCAGGGUCUGUAAAUUUUUUCCGAUUAAAUUUCCUCCAUCUCCUCCUUUCUAUCUCCUUCCAGCUUUGUAAUUAAACUUAGAAUAUCUCAGAAUUUUUUUCCUGAACAGCCAAGUCAUCACUCGAUUUAAUUGACCACAUUAUUAACUUCAGAGGUUUAGUGUGGCUUAUAAAGAUAUCAUCUUUUGUUGGGCAAGGUGGCACAUGCCUGUAAUCCCAGCAGGUCAGGAGACUGAGACAGGGGGAUCUCAGGUUCAAAGCCAGCCUCAGAAAGUUAAUGAGGCUCUGUGUCUAAAUAAAAUACAAAAAAGAGAUGGGGAUGUGGCUUAGUGGUUGAGUGCCCCUGGGUUCAAUCCCCAGUACCAAAACAAACAAACAAAACAGAGAUCUUUAUCAGAUCAACUAUAGUGAGAUUUCUGUUUAUGAGACCCAGUGCUUGACACUGGUGAAAGAAAAUCUCAAGCAGGGGAGAAAAUAUAUAAGCAUAAGAAGAUAAGUGAUCAUAUUAAGUACCAAGUGAAUAAACUAGUAUGCAUAGCCAUAAGAGUUCAAAGACAAGGCUAGGGAUGUAGUUUAGUGGUAGAGCACUUUGUCUUGUGUGCACAAGGGUCUAUCUUCAUUUGGUCCUUAGCACCACAAAAAGAGUUGGAAGGCAAAAUUCUUAGAAAAUGCUGGGGGCAGUUUACAAAGACCUCAGUGACCAUCCACACAUAUUUUAUGCCUUAAAGAAAGACUUAAAAAUGGAGCAGAAUAUUCCAGGGUACAAGAAAAAUUCUAUCAAAAAAAGCUGGAAGCAAAGAUACAAGAAGACUGUUUGAGAGACAAUAAACAGAUCAAUUUGACUUGCAUAUGAGUAAAAAAAAAAAGUCCUAAGAAUCUUGAGUCUCCUUAAAUGUCAGGCAAGAGAAUCUGGGCUUUGAACCAAAUAGUGUGCAGAGUUUGAUAGCAUAUAAGCAGGUGAUUUGUUUCAAACUGUCUUAACAGGACCACUUAGAGCAGAUUUAAACCAGGCCAGCCUCUUUCUGGGCUAACUUUUCCCCUUCUUGUUGGCCCUGUUUUCAAAAAAUUCUCUUGGCAGAAUUAUUAGAGCAGAAACUAAGGGCAGAAAUUAUAGAAUCUGUCCUUUUUCUAAUAGAACCAGGAAAGAGGAGGCAAAAGUGAAUAAAAUGGUAAGAUUUAAGGUGUUAGAGAAAGAUGAAAUAAGGGUUUAAUCUUUCAAGGACUUGGUAGUCAACAUUUACCAUGUGUACUAUGGGAAUUGAAAAUAUGCCACUCCCAAUUAUACUUCUUUGGCAUAUUUUGAGAUGGAUUUUAGAGGAAGGGCAGACACAGGAAUAACUAUGCAAAGUUGUUCCUUUGGAAAAAAAAAAUUUACGCCUAUCUACAUGAAUAAAGUAUAAAGUUUGUGGCAAACAGUGGCAUUCUCUGAGACCUCCUUAUCUGCCUAAAGGUGACCUAAGGAAGCUCAUUUCACAGGAUAGGAGACUAGAGAUCCAAAACCCUGCCCAGAUGGAGAUUGCUACAGGCUGUCACCUAUUCUUUUGAAUGCAGUUCUGAGAUUACCAGAGAGUCAUCUUUAUCUGCAUGAUACAACAAACUUUUAUUCAUUGUACAUUCUUCCCCUCACCCUCCCAUAAGCUGUAUCUGUCUGUUCCCAGAAUUCCCAAGCAUCUAUUCCUCUCUGUAGCUCAGGAUAUUUUAUAAGCUUCAAUCAUUUGAUCUUUCUUUGAGUCUUAUAUUUCAUGAGGCUCCCAUGCACAUGCAUGUAAUAAAUAAUACACAUCUUUUCCUGGCAA